AUUUUAUGAUGAAACAAUCUUUAUUCAGUUCUGCUUCUGAACAUACUUGAUGACACAAACUAUACCAAAAACAAUUUCUGAGCA
RNAcentral lists this small nucleolar RNA (84 nucleotides) under Diaporthe ampelina. Lineage: Eukaryota; Fungi; Ascomycota; Sordariomycetes; Diaporthales; Diaporthaceae. The record is from RNAcentral.